Molecule: ribosomal RNA, 235 nt
Filed under: uncultured bacterium
Lineage: Bacteria
Description: partial 16S ribosomal RNA
Rfam family: Bacterial small subunit ribosomal RNA
Source: RNAcentral
UACGAAGGGGGCUAGCGUUAAUCGGAAUUACUGGGCGUAAAGCGUGCGUAGGCGGUUCGUUAAGUCUGUUGUGAAAGCCCCGGGCUCAACCUGGGAAUGGCAAUGGAUACUGGCGAGCUAGAGUGUGUCAGAGGAUGGUGGAAUUCCCGGUGUAGCGGUGAAAUGCGUAGAGAUCGGGGAGGAACAUCAGUGGCGAAGGCGGCCAUCUGGGACAACACUGACGCUGAGGACGAAA